GGCCUACGGGGGGCAGCAGUGGGGAAUAUUGCACAAUGGGCGAAAGCCUGAUGCAGCAACGCCGCGUGAGCGAUGAAGGCCUUCGGGUCGUAAAGCUCUGUCCUCAAGGAAGAUAAUGACGGUACUUGAGGAGGAAGCCCCGGCUAACUACGUGCCAGCAGCCGCGGUAAUACGUAGGUGGCGAGCGUUAUCCGGAAUGAUUGGGCGUAAAGGGUGCGCAGGCGGUCCUGCAAGUCUGGAGUGAAACGCAUGAGCUCAACUCAUGCAUGGCUUUGGAAACUGGAGGACUGGAGAGCAGGAGAGGG
Molecule: ribosomal RNA, 305 nt
Filed under: uncultured bacterium
Lineage: Bacteria
Description: bacterial SSU rRNA
Rfam family: Bacterial small subunit ribosomal RNA
Source: RNAcentral